AUGAACGCUGGCGGCGUGCCUAAUACAUGCAAGUCGAGCGAACAGACGAGGAGCUUGCUCCUCUGACGUUAGCGGCGGACGGGUGAGUAACACGUGGAUAACCUACCUAUAAGACUGGGAUAACUUCGGGAAACCGGAGCUAAUACCGGAUAAUAUAUUGAACCGCAUGGUUCAAUAGUGAAAGACGGUUUUGCUGUCACUUAUAGAUGGAUCCGCGCCGCAUUAGCUAGUUGGUAAGGUAACGGCUUACCAAGGCAACGAUGCGUAGCCGACCUGAGAGGGUGAUCGGCCACACUGGAACUGAGACACGGUCCAGACUCCUACGGGAGGCAGCAGUAGGGAAUCUGACGCAAUGGGCGAAAGCCUGACGGAGCAACGCCGCGUGAGUGAUGAAGGUCUUCGGAUCGUAAAACUCUGUUAUUAGGGAAGAACAAAUGUGUAAGUAACUAUGCACGUCUUGACGGUACCUAAUCAGAAAGCCACGGCUAACUACGUG
Molecule: ribosomal RNA, 496 nt
Filed under: uncultured bacterium
Lineage: Bacteria
Description: partial 16S ribosomal RNA
Rfam family: Bacterial small subunit ribosomal RNA
Source: RNAcentral